GAUGAACGCUAGCUACAGGCUUAACACAUGCAAGUCGAGGGGCAGCAUGAACUUAGCUUGCUAAGUUUGAUGGCGACCGGCGCACGGGUGAGUAACACGUAUCCAACCUGCCGAUGACUCGGGGAUAGCCUUUCGAAAGAAAGCUUAAUACCCGAUGGCAUAGUUCUUCCGCAUGGUAGAACUAUUAAAGAAUUUCGGUCAUCGAUGGGGAUGCGUUCCAUUAGGUUGUUGGCGGGGUAACGGCCCACCAAGCCUUCGAUGGAUAGGGGUUCUGAGAGGAAGGUCCCCCACAUUGGAACUGAGACACGGUCCAGACUCCUACGGGAGGCAGCAGUGAGGAAUAUUGGUCAAUGGACGAGAGUCUGAACCAGCCAAGUAGCGUGAAGGAUGACUGCCCUAUGGGUUGUAAACUUCUUUUAUACGGGAAUAAAGUUAGCCACGUGUGGUUUUUGUAUGUACCGUAUGAAUAAGGAUCGGCUAACUCCGUG
This 488-nucleotide ribosomal RNA is filed under the name uncultured bacterium. RNAcentral's name for it is "bacterial SSU rRNA". It matches the Rfam family "Bacterial small subunit ribosomal RNA", at positions 28 to 507 of the family's 1533-position model. The record is from RNAcentral.